CAAUAUGACUACAAGGCAAAUC
This 22-nucleotide microRNA is filed under the name Bombyx mori (domestic silkworm). Its description in RNAcentral is "bmo-miR-33-3p". Its record names the gene bmo-miR-33-3p. The record is from miRBase by way of RNAcentral. Lineage: Eukaryota; Metazoa; Arthropoda; Insecta; Lepidoptera; Bombycidae.